AUUGAACGCUGGCGGCAGGCCUAACACAUGCAAGUCGAACGGUAACAGGAAGCAGCUUGCUGCUUCGCUGACGAGUGGCGGACGGGUGAGUAAUGUCUGGGAAACUGCCUGAUGGAGGGGGAUAACUACUGGAAACGGUAGCUAAUACCGCAUAACGUCGCAAGAACAAAGAGGGGGACCUUAGGGCCUCUUGCCAUCGGAUGUGCCCAGAUGGGAUUAGCUAGUAGGUGGGGUAACGGCUCACCUAGGCGACGAUCCCUAGCUGGUCUGAGAGGAUGACCAGCCACACUGGAACUGAGACACGGUCCAGACUCCUACGGGAGGCAGCAGUGGGGAAUAUUGCACAAUGGGCGCAAGCCUGAUGCAGCCAUGCCGCGUGUAUGAAGAAGGCCUUCGGGUUGUAAAGUACUUUCAGCGGGGAGGAAGGGAGUAAAGUUAAUACCUUUGCUCAUUGACGUUACCCGCAGAAGAAGCACCGGCUAACUCCGUG
This 490-nucleotide ribosomal RNA is filed under the name uncultured bacterium. RNAcentral describes it as "partial 16S ribosomal RNA". It matches the Rfam family "Bacterial small subunit ribosomal RNA", at positions 30 to 507 of the family's 1533-position model. The record is from RNAcentral.